UGAGUAAUAAUUAACAAAAUUAAUAAUUGAUGUGAAUAAAAAUAUUGUAAAAAUAAAUUUAAGCCAGUUUUACUUUAACGUCCAUAAUUUUUCAAUACUAUUGUUAACUAAAUGAUACAUAUUAGAUCAUUUGUUUGAUUAAUUAAAUGAUAUAUUUCAAUUAUAUAUGUUAUAUAUAUAUAUAUAUAUAUAUAUAUAUAUAUAUAUAUAUUCUUUGUGGAGUUUCAUGUAUAAAAAUUCAUUUAUCGUGCAAACGGUUACCUUGUAGCCCCUGUGCGAAAAACAUUUCUUGAAUUAUUAAGUUAUAUUGUUUUUUUACAAUUUUUUAUAUUUUCAUAGCGUAAAUACUUGCUGCAUUGUGCACAUAUUGUUCGUUUCAUUUUCUGCGCAUUUCAUACACCGUAUACAAUAUUUGUUUUCAACAGCCUUAAUAAAACGAGGCAUAUAGAUUAUUAAUAUGUGCUUGCGAAAAUAUAAACUCUAUGUAGAACAUUUUGAAUAAAACAUUCGUAAAUGUUUUGUUGUAAUAUAGUUAGAUUUUAGUGGAAAUACAUAUUUUAGAUCUUAUACCUACAACUAGAUUUGAGAAUUAAUACCAUAAUUUUUCUGGGGUAUGUAGAAGUACUUCAUGAAAAAACAAAAUGCGAUUAAUAUAUUUUGCAUAACGAGCAUUUGGCUAAUUUUUUAUGCAUCUCACGUACUUGUGCACCAGGUAACGCAAAUGCAAAUUUUGUGAAUGUCAUUUUCGUGUCGCCACGUCAUGAUAAUCAUGAUACAAAUAUUUUUGUAUACUUAAAACUUAUAAUGACCCGAGUACAACGAGAUUAUCAGAUGAACAAUAAAUAUUAUUGCCAAUAGUAUCAUGUAUAAUAUUGCAACUCAAAUGUGUUUUGUAUUAAAAAUUAUGAUAAGCAGAUAAAUAUAGUGAGAAAAAAAUAUUUUCACUUUGAGGAUAUUUUACAAAAAAACAUUUUUUUGCUGUAAUACUUUCAUCUAGUUUGUAGAAGAUUUUUGAGAUACAUAUGGAUACAUGACAUGUACAUACAAAUUUUUGUCUUAAUUAUUUAUUUCUAUUUAAUUAUAUGAAAAAUUCGUGGAUCUAAGAAAACAAAAUGUUAAAAGCUGUUUUUCUUUGAAUAACGUUAGUGUUCGCGAAACUUGCCAUAAUGUUAAAUAUUUAACUUAAAUACCAAUGUAACAUAUGUAUAAAUAGUGUUUUAUUAAUCGAUAGUCUGUCGAGAUUCAAGUGUAAAAAUUCAUUGAUCGAUCGUACAAACGAAAUGGUUAUCUUGCAAUCCCUGUGUGGAAAACUAUUCUCUUAUUUCUCUUGUUUAUAGCCAUUGGGAAUGAUAUAUAAAAAUUACGAUGAAAACAUUGAGAAAAUAUAUAGAUAAAUAUAUCUUAUCAUACUUAUCUUAGGAUAGCACUUAAAGUGGUCUAUAAAACAGAACCAAAUGUAAAAUGAACGUUUAAUUCUACAGUAUUAAUACUAUCAAUAUGUUUCGUCUGAUUGCUUCGCUCAUAGUCGCAGCAGUGCUCUUUCAAGCGGUUUUUGCAUGUGUGUCCAGUGUGUCCAAGCCCGAAAUUUCAGAGUUCAACUAUAUUAAUGAAGAUUAGGGACCUUGAAAUUGGUGAACUGACGGCAAACGACACAUUGAUUUCUUCCUCGCGAUUUUGGACCGGAAAUCAUGAAAACGUUGUUAGAACGUAUGAUAUAUUUCAGUUUGAUCUUCGAGUUUUUUUUUGUUUUAACUGAAAUAAAUAUACUUUUUGUAAUAAGUAAAAAUAUAUAUAAUAUUACAACUUUAUUUUUAUUUUGAUAGUAAUUUUCAUAAAAUUGACGUAGUACUUUUAAAAUAAAUAUUCAGUAUAAUAGAAUUAUGAUAGAAUAUUCAAAAUAAUAGAAUUAUAAUGGAAUUAUUAGUGCAUUUUGCACUUUUGUGUACAACAGUUCUUAAUUCUAACCGAAUAUAGUAUAAAAUACUCAUCGUAUCUCUGCAAGAAAAAUGAUACAAAUAGAAAUUUUUAAAGUUUUGCACAAGUAUAAUGUUCUAAAUUGGUUUUGAAACAGAAAAAGUGUGUGAUACAAGUUGAAUUAAAAAAAAAAAAAAAGAUAGGGAAAAUGAAAACCGAAAAAGUGGCACAAAUUAAAAGAGAUAGUUUUUACUAGCAUAAUAAUAUAACAAAAUUAUUAUUUAAAUUACUUUAAGAGAAUGUGUUGAUAUAGAAGAAGAAGAAGAGAAAUAGAGAGAGAGAGAGAGAGAGAGAGAAGAAUUAAAAGAGGACACCAACAUAAACUGUUGAAAAUAGGCGGAGAAAGACAAUUUGACUACGCGAUUGAUUUCGGGGAUUUGAUCGGCCCGGAGAGGAUGAUCUUGAGUCUCGAAGCAAUGUAAUGUGGGGAAGCAGACAGAAAGUUCUCGGCCUUAUUAAUAUCGUUCAAAUAGAUAUUAAUGUUAAGAUUUUAAUUCUGACAAUUUGGCUAUUAUUUUGGGAAGCCUUGAAGAAAAGAAGCGAAACUUCAGAGGUCAGACUGAAGUUUAACGAGCAGCCACCCACUUCCAGGGCUAUUCCAACAUAGUUGAGUUGGUUGACGAAGAAUCUCUGUCGCAGGAAAUGGAGUGCUGGAGCACAGAGUGCUGUUGCACUAGAAAAUGGAGCACGGCUCGAAGGAAACAUCCCACACGGGCGAACAUGGCUGGUCUACUGCUGAUUUUUUUUUCUGUGAUAUUUUCCAUUUUUAAGAAAAUUCUUAAGACAUACAG
Molecule: long non-coding RNA, 2765 nt
Organism: Solenopsis invicta (red fire ant)
Lineage: Eukaryota; Metazoa; Arthropoda; Insecta; Hymenoptera; Formicidae
Exons: 2
Source: RefSeq, a predicted model, not a curated record